GGGGAUUUAGCUCAGUGGUAGAGCGCUUGCUUAGCAAGAGCAAGGCCCUAGCAAGGCCCUGGGUUCGGUCCCCAGCUCCA
Molecule: transfer RNA, 80 nt
Filed under: Rattus norvegicus (Norway rat)
Lineage: Eukaryota; Metazoa; Chordata; Mammalia; Rodentia; Muridae
Rfam family: tRNA
About the family: Transfer RNA (tRNA) molecules are approximately 80 nucleotides in length. Their secondary structure includes four short double-helical elements and three loops (D, anti-codon, and T loops).
Source: Rfam by way of RNAcentral